Molecule: ribosomal RNA, 487 nt
Filed under: uncultured bacterium
Lineage: Bacteria
Description: bacterial SSU rRNA
Rfam family: Bacterial small subunit ribosomal RNA
Source: RNAcentral
GAUGAACGCUAGCGGCAGGCCUAACACAUGCAAGUCGAGGGGUAACAUAGGAAAGCUUGCUUUUCUGAUGACGACCGGCGCACGGGUGCGUAACGCGUAUACAACCUACCUUUUAGCGGGGAAUAGCCCAGGGAAACUUGGAUUAAUGCCCCAUAGUAUAUAGACUUCUCCUGAAGUUUAUAUUAAACAUUUAUGGCUAUUAGAUGGGUAUGCGUCCUAUUAGUUAGUUGGUAAGGUAACGGCUUACCAAGGCAGCGAUAGGUAGGGGUCCUGAGAGGGAGAUCCCCACACUGGUACUGAGACACGGACCAGACUCCUACGGGAGGCAGCAGUGAGGAAUAUUGGACAAUGGGCGAGAGCCUGAUCCAGCCAUGCCGCGUGCAGGAAGACUGCCCUAUGGGUUGUAAACUGCUUUUACAGAGGAAGAACCACCCCCACGUGUGGGGGUUUGACGGUACUCUGCGAAUAAGGAUCGGCUAACUCCGUG